Molecule: ribosomal RNA, 253 nt
Filed under: uncultured bacterium
Lineage: Bacteria
Description: partial 16S ribosomal RNA
Rfam family: Bacterial small subunit ribosomal RNA
Source: RNAcentral
UACGGAGGGUGCAAGCGUUAUCCGGAUUUACUGGGUUUAAAGGGUGCGUAGGCGGGCCAUUAAGUCAGAUGUGAAAGCCUCAAGCUCAACUUGAGAACUGCGUUUGAUACUGGUGGCCUUGAAUGCGAUAGAAGUGGGCGGAACGAAUCGUGUAGCGGUGAAAUGCUUAGAUAUGAUUCGGAACACCAAUUGCGAAGGCAGCUCACUAUGCCGUUAUUGACGCUGAGGCACGAAAGCGUGGGGAUCAAACAGG